GCUGGGUGUGGUGGUGCAUUUCUGUAAUUCCAGCUACUUGGGAGGAUGAGGCAGAAGGAUUGCAAGUUUGAGGACAGCUUAGGCAAUUUAGCAAAAUCCUGCCUCCA
This 107-nucleotide small RNA is filed under the name Marmota monax (woodchuck). The record is from RNAcentral. Lineage: Eukaryota; Metazoa; Chordata; Mammalia; Rodentia; Sciuridae.